AAGUAACGCUAGCUAUAUGCUUAACACAUGCAAGUCGAACGUUGUUUUCGGGCGCGCUUGUCUCGCCUUGAGAACAAAGUGGCGAACGGGUGAGUAAUGUCUGGGAAACUGCCUGAUGGAGGGGGAUAACUACUGGAAACGGUAGCUAAUACCGCAUAACGUCGCAAGACCAAAGAGGGGGACCUUCGGGCCUCUUGCCAUCGGAUGUGCCCAGAUGGGAUUAGCUAGUAGGUGGGGUAAAGGCUCACCUAGGCGACGAUCCCUAGCUGGUCUGAGAGGAUGACCAGCCACACUGGAACUGAGACACGGUCCAGACUCCUACGGGAGGCAGCAGUGGGGAAUAUUGCACAAUGGGCGCAAGCCUGAUGCAGCCAUGCCGCGUGUAUGAAGAAGGCCUUCGGGUUGUAAAGUACUUUCAGCGGGGAGGAAGGGAGUAAAGUUAAUACCUUUGCUCAUUGACGUUACCCGCAGAAGAAGCACCGGCUAACUCCGUGCCAGCAGCCGCAGUAAAAC
This 513-nucleotide ribosomal RNA is filed under the name uncultured bacterium. RNAcentral describes it as "bacterial SSU rRNA". It matches the Rfam family "Bacterial small subunit ribosomal RNA", at positions 32 to 526 of the family's 1533-position model. The record is from RNAcentral.